This 440-nucleotide ribosomal RNA is filed under the name uncultured bacterium. RNAcentral describes it as "bacterial SSU rRNA". It matches the Rfam family "Bacterial small subunit ribosomal RNA", at positions 338 to 795 of the family's 1533-position model. The record is from RNAcentral.
CCUACGGGGGGCUGCAGUAACGAAUCUUCCGCAAUGCACGAAAGUGUGACGGAGCGACGCCGCGUGCGGGACGAAGCCCCUCGGGGUGUAAACCGCUGUCAGGGGCAGCCAAGAUCUGAGGCGCCCCAGAGGAAGGCACGGCUAACUCUGUGCCAGCAGCCGCGGUAAGACAGAGGUGCCGAGCGUUAGGCGGAAUCACUGGGCUUAAAGCGUGUGUAGGCGGGCCGUUAAGUGCCCCGUGAAAUCCCCCGGCUCAACCGGGGAACCGCGGGACAUACUGGCGGCCUCGAGCGGCCUAGGGGCCACCGGAACAAGUGGUGGAGCGGUGAAAUGCGUAGAUAUCACUUGGAACGCCCGCGGCGAAAGCGGGUGGCUGGGGGCCGGCUGACGCUGAGACACGAAAGCCAGGGGAGCGAACGGGAUUAGAUACCCUUGUAGUC